RNAcentral lists this ribosomal RNA (253 nucleotides) under uncultured bacterium. RNAcentral's name for it is "partial 16S ribosomal RNA". It matches the Rfam family "Bacterial small subunit ribosomal RNA", at positions 524 to 776 of the family's 1533-position model. The record is from RNAcentral.
UACGGGGGGGGUAAGCGUUGUUCGGAAUUACUGGGCGUAAAGGGCUCGUAGGCGGCCAACUAAGUCAGAUGUGAAAUCCCUCAGCUUAACUGGGGAACUGCGUCUGAUACUGGAUGGCUUGGAUCCGGGAGAGGGAUGCGGAAUUCCAGGUGUAGCGGUGAAAUGCGUAGAUAUCUGGAGGAACACCGGUGGCGAAGGCGGCAUCCUGGACCGGUAUUGACGCUGAGGAGCGAAAGCCAGGGGAGCAAACGGG